AAUGAACGCUGGCGGCGUGCCUAACACAUGCAAGUCGAGCGGUAACAGGCCUUCGGGUGCUGACGAGCGGCGCACGGGUGAGUAAUACGUGAAUAAUCUACCUUCAAGCCUGGGAUAACUACUCGAAAGGGUAGCUAAUACUGGAUAAGCUCACAGAGUCCUUGGAUUCAGUGAGAAAAGGCGGCCUCUGUAUAUGCUGUCACUAGAAGAUGAGUUCGCGCACCAUUAGCUAGUUGGUGAGGUAACGGCUCACCAAGGCUGCGAUGGUUAGCGGGUCUGAGAGGAUGAUCCGCCACACUGGAACUGAGACACGGUCCAG
RNAcentral lists this ribosomal RNA (319 nucleotides) under uncultured bacterium. RNAcentral describes it as "bacterial SSU rRNA". It matches the Rfam family "Bacterial small subunit ribosomal RNA", at positions 29 to 334 of the family's 1533-position model. The record is from RNAcentral.